Molecule: ribosomal RNA, 425 nt
Filed under: uncultured bacterium
Lineage: Bacteria
Description: bacterial SSU rRNA
Rfam family: Bacterial small subunit ribosomal RNA
Source: RNAcentral
GGGGAAUUUUGGACAAUGGGGGAAACCCUGAUCCAGCAAUGCCGUGUGCAGGAUGAAGGCCUUCGGGUUGUAAACUGCUUUUGUACGGAACGAAAAGGCCCCUUCAAAUAAAGGGGGCCCAUGACGGUACCGUAAGAAUAAGCACCGGCUAACUACGUGCCAGCAGCCGCGGUAAUACGUAGGGUGCAAGCGUUAAUCGGAAUUACUGGGCGUAAAGCGUGCGCAGGCGGUUAUGUAAGACAGAUGUGAAAUCCCCGGGCUCAACCUGGGAAUUGCAUCAGUGACUGCAUAGCUUGAGUGCGGCAGAGGGGGAUGGAAUUCCGCGUGUAGCAGUGAAAUGCGUAGAUAUGCGGAGGAACACCGAUGGCGAAGGCAAUCCCCUGGGCCUGCACUGACGCUCAUGCACGAAAGCGUGGGGAGCAAAC